CAGCCGCCACGGUAAUACGAAGGGUGCAAGCGUUACUCGGAAUUACUGGGCGUAAAGCGUGCGUAGGUGGUGGUUUAAGUCCGUUGUGAAAGCCCUGGGCUCAACCUGGGAAUUGCAGUGGAUACUGGGUCACUAGAGUGUGGUAGAGGAUAGUGGAAUUUCCGGUGUAGCAGUGAAAUGCGUAGAGAUCGGAAGGAACAUCUGUGGCGAAGGCGACUAUCUGGGCCAACACUGACACUGAGGCACGAAAGCGUGGGGAGCAAACAGGAUUAGAUACCCCUGUAGUCCCUGUAUCUUAUAC
This 301-nucleotide ribosomal RNA is filed under the name uncultured bacterium. Its description in RNAcentral is "partial 16S ribosomal RNA". It matches the Rfam family "Bacterial small subunit ribosomal RNA", at positions 509 to 807 of the family's 1533-position model. The record is from RNAcentral.